RNAcentral lists this long non-coding RNA (1825 nucleotides) under Homo sapiens (human). Its description in RNAcentral is "HSALNT0105372". The record is from RNAcentral. Lineage: Eukaryota; Metazoa; Chordata; Mammalia; Primates; Hominidae.
CAAAAAAAAAAAAAAAAAGAAAAGAAAAAAGAAAAUGCUCAAAGGUCCAUAAACCAUGCCAGAGUUUCCCCUAUUGCCACCCUUGGGUUAGAGCCCUGGACUGAUGCUGUGGCAGCCCUGGGGUGAGGGUGACCAGGCCAGAGGCAUUGCUGUGGAACUGUCAGGCCCUGUGACCAGACCACAGAGGUGGUCUGUGGCUCCCCACCUCUGGGGAGGGAUGGCCACAGAGGCUCCCCCGCUGGUAAGGACAGGCCUGCGAGGACAGAGAGGGCUCAGGUGGACAGGGCAGCUCUUUAUCUAAACCUCAUAUCAUGUGGGUGAAGAGACGGCCCAGAGAGGGUGAGUGGCUCCUUCAAAGUCACACAGCACUAAAGGCAGGACAGGUGCCAGAAUCUGUAUAAAAUCCAUAGUUGGCAUCUGAAUACAAUGGACACCUGCUUUUUUGCUUUGUUUUGGCUGUUCUUCUUGCCUGAAAUGCUCUUCUCCCAGAUAUCCACGAUGGUCGCUACCCUCAGCUGCUUCACACACCACCUCAAACAUCACCUUCUCAGUGAGGACCUCCCUGACCUCUCAUUUAAAGUUGCACUCCCAGCCAGAUGUGGUGGCUCACUCCUGUAAUCUCAGCACUUUGGGAAGCCGAGGUGGGAGGAUUGCUUGAGGCUAAGAGUUCAAGAGCAAUCUGGCCAACACAGUGAGACCCCAACUCUGUUUUUAUUUUUUAAAUUUUAUUAUUUUUUGAGAUGGAGUCUCACUCUAAUGCCCAGGCUGGAGUGCAGUGGUAUGAUCUCACCUCACUGCAACCUCCGCCUCCCGGGUUCAAGCGAUUCUCCUGCCUCAGACUCCCGAGUAGCUGGAAUUACAGGCGCGUGCCAUCACGCUCAGCUAAUUUUUGUAUUUUUAGUAGGGAUGGGGUUUCAUCAUGUUGGCCAGGCUGGUCUCGAACUCUUGACCUCAAAUGAUCUGCCCACCUCGGCCUCCCAAAGUCCUGGGAUUACAGGCAUGAGCCACCACCACCAGCCCGACUCUAUUUCUUAAAAAGGUAAAAUAAACGAUUAAAGUUGCACUCCCAACUCCCCUUUUCUUAUCUUCUCUUGUUUCUCCCUAUCAUCUUUCAUCACCUGAUUUGCCAUAUGUUUUACUGAACAUCAGUUCCAUGCUGCAGGGAUUUGUGUUUUUGUCUGUUUCACUGCUGUAUCCCCAGCACCUAGGGCACUGCUGGGCACAAGGUAGGUUAAGUCCGCAAUAUAUAUUUAUUAACAGAACAAAUAAAUGAGUAUCAACCUUCGCCAAUAGUGUUACCACAGGUGAAGGGCACAAUGAAAAUGCUUGAGUGGCUUCUUCUAGUGCAGAAGUGUCCUUGAACGUAUAACCCAUCCCCGUGGACACACUGUGCUGUGUGUGCCCGUCGUGUCCUGUACCCGCUGCCCCAGGACAGGAGCUGCAACCCCUGAGCUCACAGACCUUGCUGAUCCUUUAUGAACCAAUAUGCACCCUCAGAAGGGCACGGUUGACAAAAUAUGUGCUGCUGUUAGGUGUCUAUUCAUUGUCAAAUACUCAAAAGUAGCUAUGAAUUCUAAAAGAAAAUCUGCUUAGAGAGGAACUAGCAAGACAUCUUUGCUCAGGAGUGAGGCCUAUAAGGAAAAAUCGAAUAUCCCGCUCUAAAAACUAGAAACAAGCCUUGCGUGAAAAUGCUUUGUGAUGUGCUGUUUCAUAUCACAGAAUGGAACCUGUGUUUUGAUUCCAAGGUUCGCAACACUCUACAAAGCUUAAAUUUUCUCUGCUGCUUUCUUUGUAGAAAAAACAAAGGCUGCUUUUCCAAGCCUUU